UACGUAGGUGGCAAGCGUUGUCCGGAAUUAUUGGGCGUAAAGCGCGCGCAGGCGGUUUCUUAAGUCUGAUGUGAAAGCCCCCGGCUUAACCAGGGAGGGUCAUUGGAAACUGGGAGACUGGAGUGCAGAAGAGGAGAGUGGAAUUCCAUGUGUAGCGGUGAAAUGCGUAGAUAUAUGGAGGAACACCAGUGGCGAAGGCGGCUCUCUGGUCUGUAACUGACGCUGAGGCGCGGAAGCGUGGGGAGCAAAC
Molecule: ribosomal RNA, 250 nt
Filed under: uncultured bacterium
Lineage: Bacteria
Description: partial 16S ribosomal RNA
Rfam family: Bacterial small subunit ribosomal RNA
Source: RNAcentral